This 486-nucleotide ribosomal RNA is filed under the name uncultured bacterium. Its description in RNAcentral is "partial 16S ribosomal RNA". It matches the Rfam family "Bacterial small subunit ribosomal RNA", at positions 30 to 507 of the family's 1533-position model. The record is from RNAcentral.
AUUGAACGCUGGCGGCAUGCCUUACACAUGCAAGUCGAACGGCAGCACGGGUGCUUGCACCUGGUGGCGAGUGGCGAACGGGUGAGUAAUACAUCGGAACAUGUCCUGUAGUGGGGGAUAGCCCGGCGAAAGCCGGAUUAAUACCGCAUACGAUCUACGGAUGAAAGCGGGGGACCUUCGGGCCUCGCUCUAUAGAGUUGGCCGAUGGCUGAUUAGCUAGUUGGUGGGGUAAAGGCCUACCAAGGCGACGAUCAGUAGCUGGUCUGAGAGGACGACCAGCCACACUGGGACUGAGACACGGCCCAGACUCCUACGGGAGGCAGCAGUGGGGAAUUUUGGACAAUGGGCGAAAGCCUGAUCCAGCAAUGCCGCGUGUGUGAAGAAGGCCUUCGGGUUGUAAAGCACUUUUGUCCGGAAAGAAAUCCUUGGCCCUAAUACGGUCGGGGGAUGACGGUACCGGAAGAAUAAGCACCGGCUAACUACGUG